Molecule: ribosomal RNA, 413 nt
Filed under: uncultured bacterium
Lineage: Bacteria
Description: bacterial SSU rRNA
Rfam family: Bacterial small subunit ribosomal RNA
Source: RNAcentral
UGAGUUUGUCCUGGCUCAGGAUGAACGUUGGCGGCGUGCCUAAUACAUGCAAGUCGAACGGGAAGGCUGGCUUUCGGGUCGCUGGAGAGUGGCUGAACGGGUGAGUAACGCGUAACUGAUCUGCCCCAUAGACUGGGAUAACCUUUGGAAACAGAGGCUAAUACUGGGAUGAACUUGGCGGAGUUAGGUUUCUGCUGAGGAAAGGUUUAGGCGCUAUGGGAUGAGGUUGCGGUCCAUCAGCUAGUUGGUGAGGUAAAGGCUCACCAAGGCGAUGACGGAUAGGGGAUCUGAGAGGGUGGCCCCCCACACUGGGACUGAGACACGGCCCAGACUCCUACGGGAGGCAGCAGUAAGGGAUAUUGCACAAUGGGCGGAAGCCUGAUGCAGCGACNCCGCGUGGGCGAAGAAGGUUU